AUUUAAUCCUAUUUGGAUAACUGUAGUAAUUCUAGAGCUAAUACAUGCAAAAAACCUGGACUUUACAGAACAGGUGUACUUAUUAGACUUUAAAACCGAUUACAAUUUAUUGUAAAUUUAAAAUGAAUUAAAAUAAGUUUAUGAAUCGCAGAUCAUUUUGUGAUGAUAAGAAUGAAUUUCUGCCCUAUCAACUUUCGAUGGUAAUGUAGUGGAUUACCAUGGUGAUGACGGGUAACGGGGAAUUAGGGUUUGAUUCCGGAGAAAAGGCCUGAGAGACGGCCAUUACUUCUAAGGAAGGCAGCAGGCGCGUAAAUUACCCAAUCCUAAUACGGGGAGGUAGUGACAAGAAAUAUUGAUAUUGGACCCAAAGGGUACAAUGAUUGAAAUGAGAACAAUAUAAAAAACUUAACGACUAACAAUUGGAGGGCAAGUCUGGUGCCAGCAGCCGCGGUAAUUCCAGCUCCAAGAGUGUAUAUUAAAGUU
RNAcentral lists this ribosomal RNA (483 nucleotides) under uncultured eukaryote. RNAcentral describes it as "bacterial SSU rRNA". It matches the Rfam family "Eukaryotic small subunit ribosomal RNA", at positions 127 to 611 of the family's 1831-position model. The record is from RNAcentral.